UCCUAGCCCUGAUAGAAGUGGAAAUCCUUUUAUCCUGAUUUUUAAGGAUAAAAGAUUGGAACGGAUAGCAGGAUUAGCU
RNAcentral lists this small RNA (79 nucleotides) under Flavobacterium sp. 5. RNAcentral's name for it is "Flavo-1 RNA". It matches the Rfam family "Flavo-1 RNA". The record is from RNAcentral. Lineage: Bacteria; Pseudomonadati; Bacteroidota; Flavobacteriia; Flavobacteriales; Flavobacteriaceae.